This 87-nucleotide transfer RNA is filed under the name Enterococcus pseudoavium. RNAcentral's name for it is "tRNA-Leu". It matches the Rfam family "tRNA". Rfam says of the family: Transfer RNA (tRNA) molecules are approximately 80 nucleotides in length. Their secondary structure includes four short double-helical elements and three loops (D, anti-codon, and T loops). Further hydrogen bonds mediate the characteristic L-shaped molecular structure. tRNAs have two regions of fundamental functional importance: the anti-codon, which is responsible for specific mRNA codon recognition, and the 3' end, to which the tRNAs corresponding amino acid is attached (by aminoacyl-tRNA synthetases). tRNAs cope with the degeneracy of the genetic code in two manners: having more than one tRNA (with a specific anti-codon) for a particular amino acid; and 'wobble' base-pairing, i.e. permitting non-standard base-pairing at the 3rd anti-codon position. The record is from RNAcentral. RNAcentral also lists the same sequence under 6 other names. Lineage: Bacteria; Bacillati; Bacillota; Bacilli; Lactobacillales; Enterococcaceae.
GCGGUCGUGGCGGAAUUGGCAGACGCGCUAGCUUCAGGCGCUAGUGGUAGCAAUACCGUGGAAGUUCGAGUCUUCUCGGCCGCAUCA